RNAcentral lists this non-coding RNA (27 nucleotides) under Cricetulus griseus (Chinese hamster). Lineage: Eukaryota; Metazoa; Chordata; Mammalia; Rodentia; Cricetidae. The record is from RNAcentral.
AAAAGAAGGCUCGCCUUCUAGACUGGG